AGUGAACGCUGGCGGUAGGCCUAACACAUGCAAGUCGAACGGCAGCACAGUAAGAGCUUGCUCUUACGGGUGGCGAGUGGCGGACGGGUGAGGAAUACAUCGGAAUCUACUUUUUCGUGGGGGAUAACGUAGGGAAACUUACGCUAAUACCGCAUACGACCUACGGGUGAAAGCAGGGGAUCUUCGGACCCUGCGCGAUUGAAUGAGCCGAUGUCGGAUUAGCUAGUUGGCGGGGUAAAGGCCCACCAAGGCGACGAUCCGUAGCUGGUCUGAGAGGAUGAUCAGCCACACUGGAACUGAGACACGGUCCAGACUCCUACGGGAGGCAGCAGUGGGGAAUAUUGGACAAUGGGCGCAAGCCUGAUCCAGCCAUACCGCGUGGGUGAAGAAGGCCUUCGGGUUGUAAAGCCCUUUUGUUGGGAAAGAAAAGCGGCAGGUUAAUACCCCGCUGUUCUGACGGUACCCAAAGAAUAAGCACCGGCUAACUUCGUG
Molecule: ribosomal RNA, 492 nt
Filed under: uncultured bacterium
Lineage: Bacteria
Description: partial 16S ribosomal RNA
Rfam family: Bacterial small subunit ribosomal RNA
Source: RNAcentral